AGGGGUGUAGCUCAAUUGGCAGAGUAGUAGAGUCCAAAUCUAUUGGUUGCGAGUUCGAGUCUUGCCACCCCUG
RNAcentral lists this transfer RNA (73 nucleotides) under Pseudomonadota bacterium. Its description in RNAcentral is "tRNA-Trp". It matches the Rfam family "tRNA". Rfam says of the family: Transfer RNA (tRNA) molecules are approximately 80 nucleotides in length. Their secondary structure includes four short double-helical elements and three loops (D, anti-codon, and T loops). The record is from RNAcentral. RNAcentral also lists the same sequence under 1 other name. Lineage: Bacteria; Pseudomonadati; Pseudomonadota.